Long non-coding RNA from Drosophila yakuba, 416 nucleotides. RefSeq lists it as uncharacterized. The transcript has 2 exons. NCBI's taxonomy places the organism in Eukaryota, Metazoa, Arthropoda, Insecta, Diptera, Drosophilidae. The record is from RefSeq and is a predicted model, not a curated record.
ACCGCCCACAGGCAGCCGCCCAUCCACUUGGCGUGCAGCGCACAACACGGUAUCUAUGACGUUGAGUUGAGAUUACACACGAAAACUGGUGGAAAUGCAUUUGGACAGUAGGCUGUAGGCCUUACAUCCGCCAUUGAUUUAUGGUUAUUGAUAGAAAAAUCGCGCCAUGUGCGAAAGUGAGAUUAUGGCAUAAACACACAUAAAAAUAGAUACCCAUCGGCGGUAAUCUAAUAAUAUAAGGUUGUAUAGCAUUCGUGGAAAAUUAAGCACUUCCGCCAGUGCAAAGCAGUGCAUGUUAUUUUUGUUUAACUUAAACAUGAACAUAAAAAAUAGUAUUACAGAUGAGGAUACUUGUAUUUUAAAUAUGCCAAAAACAUUAUUUUUAAUUGCGUAAUAAAUUCGUUGUAAUUACCAGG